CUACGGGGUGCUGCAGCUAAGAAUCUUCCGCAAUGGACGAAAGUCUGACGGAGCGACGCCGCGUGGACGAAGAAGGCCGAGAGGUUGUAAAGUCCUUUUAUAAGAGAAGAAUAACGACGGGAGGAAAUGCCCGUUGGAUGACGGUAUCUUAUGAAUAAGCUCCGGCCAAUUACGUGCCAGCAGCCGCGGUAACACGUAAGGAGCGAGCGUUGUUCGGAAUUAUUGGGCGUAAAGGGCUUGUAGGCGGUCUAUUAAGUCUGGAGUAAAAACCCACAGCUUAACUGUGGAUCUGCUUUGGAAACUGGUAGACUUGAAUCCGUGAGAGGAAACUGGAAUUCCUGGUGUAGGGGUGAAAUCUGCUGAUAUCAGGAAGAACACCUGAGGCGAAGGCGAGUUUCUGGCACAGGAUUGACGCUGAUGAGCGAAAGCGUAGGGAGCGAACAGGAUUAGAUACCCGUGUAGUC
This 464-nucleotide ribosomal RNA is filed under the name uncultured bacterium. RNAcentral describes it as "partial 16S ribosomal RNA". It matches the Rfam family "Bacterial small subunit ribosomal RNA", at positions 339 to 795 of the family's 1533-position model. The record is from RNAcentral.